UGGGUGUUAGUUUAUAUAAAACAACUAAUUUCGACUUAGUAAAAUCGUAUUAAACUACGAACACCCYU
This is a non-coding RNA of Anolis carolinensis (green anole), 68 nucleotides long. NCBI's taxonomy places the organism in Eukaryota, Metazoa, Chordata, Lepidosauria, Squamata, Anolidae. The record is from Ensembl.